GACGAACGCUGGCGGCGUGCCUAAUACAUGCAAGUUGAGCGAUGAAGAUUGGUGCUUGCACCAAUUUGCAGAGCAGCGAACGGGUGAGUAACGCGUGGGGAAUCUGCCUUUGAGCGGGGGACAACAUUUGGAAACGAAUGCUAAUACCGCAUAACAACUUUAAACAUAAGUUUUAAGUUUGAAAGAUGCAAUUGCAUCACUCAAAGAUGAUCCCGCGUUGUAUUAGCUAGUUGGUGAGGUAAAGGCUCACCAAGGCGAUGAUACAUAGCCGACCUGAGAGGGUGAUCGGCCACAUUGGGACUGAGACACGGCCCAAACGCCUACAGGAGGCAGCAGUAGGGAAUCUUCGGCAAUGGACGAAAGUCUGACCGAGCAACGCCGCGUGAGUGAAGAAGGUUUUCGGAUCGUAAAACUCUGUUGGUAGAGAAGAACGUUGGUGAGAGUGGAAAGCUCAUCAAGUGACGGUAACUACCCAGAAAGGGACGGCUAACUACGUG
RNAcentral lists this ribosomal RNA (497 nucleotides) under uncultured bacterium. Its description in RNAcentral is "partial 16S ribosomal RNA". It matches the Rfam family "Bacterial small subunit ribosomal RNA", at positions 28 to 507 of the family's 1533-position model. The record is from RNAcentral.